RNAcentral lists this ribosomal RNA (253 nucleotides) under uncultured bacterium. Its description in RNAcentral is "partial 16S ribosomal RNA". It matches the Rfam family "Bacterial small subunit ribosomal RNA", at positions 524 to 776 of the family's 1533-position model. The record is from RNAcentral.
UACGUAGGGUGCGAGCGUUAAUCGGAAUUACUGGGCGUAAAGCGUGCGCAGGCGGCUUUGCAAGACAGAUGUGAAAUCCCCGGGCUCAACCUGGGAACUGCAUUUGUGACUGCAAGGCUAGAGUACGGCAGAGGGGGAUGGAAUUCCGCGUGUAGCAGUGAAAUGCGUAGAUAUGCGGAGGAAAACCAAUGGCGAAGGCAAUCCCCUGGGCCUGCAAUGACGCUCAUGCACGAAAGCGUGGGGAGCAAACAGG